Long non-coding RNA from Piliocolobus tephrosceles (Ugandan red Colobus), 1957 nucleotides. RefSeq lists it as uncharacterized. The transcript has 4 exons. The record is from RefSeq and is a predicted model, not a curated record. Lineage: Eukaryota; Metazoa; Chordata; Mammalia; Primates; Cercopithecidae.
CCCCCGCCUCCUUCACCUCCCGACCGUCAUCCAUCAGGCUCCUCCAGCCCUUGGCUCUACCCCUCCCGUGCGGCUGCCCUGUCCCGUCUGCUGACCACGUACUUCUGUCACGGCUUCAGCGGCUGCCUCCUCCUGGACACCUUCCCUGACUACCUACUUCCCAGGACCAGCCUAUCCCAGCCAGCCCCUGGAACAGACUGAGUCACAAUGGAUUCUUGUCGGACACCCAUGAGAGUAAAGGAGGGGCUCCCGCCAGCUUUGUCCCAGGACCCACGGCCCCGCACAUGCCUCACUGACAGUGCUGGAGGCCACGGGAGGUGCACACACAUCUGGGGGUCCUGGGGGUGCUGACAGCCCUGGGGCCGGGUGACCUCUGGCCAUCAGACUCCUAGGCUUUGAAAGGAGCUGCUGUGGGAACCUGGGAUCCCAAGAGACGUGUGGUGCUCCGGCUUCCGUUUUACGGAAAAUCGGGGAAGAUGCAGCCACAGCCGUGGAGCCUUCAGUGUGCAGAGAACACAGGCCAUGAGGGCAGAAGCUUCCAGAACAAGAGUGACGCUGCUCCAGCAGAGCUCUCAGGAGGGCAGGGCCAUGAGAAACAAGCGGGAGACCAGGAGGCCAUGAGGCUCUGCAUGUGGAUCCCUGGACUGAGGCCACCGAGCCGUCCACAUGGACUGAACAUGCUGCACGGGGCCGUCGGGCUCACUCAGGAAGCCUGGGCACAGGAGGGUACCGGGUGCACAGAAACCUGGCGGGAAGGGCUGCAGGCCUGCUGCACUUGCCAGCAGCCAUGAGGUUCUCGUGGAACAGAAGGAAUGAAGACCUCCUGGACUGCAGGUGCCACCAGAUGCCAGGGCUCUGGCCCGGCCGCGCUGCCCCGUGCACUGGAGAUGCGGUGGGCUUGGGAUUCCCACCUGCACAAGGAGGAGGAAGGGGAGGAAACGCCCGAGGGCUGGCACUGAAACCGGCCGCCCGCGUGGGGCAGGGAGACCUUAUUUACACUUUAUUGACAGACACAACACGUAUGUACACGCGUCGCAGCACAGGCCCUGUGGGCAAGACCAGACGCUCAUGAUCCCAGGGAUAAAAAAUCUCUCCGCGAGCGGGCAGGGGGCCCGGGCGGGGGGAAUCCGCUCCCCAGGGCACCAUUCGCUUAAAGUGUGUUAAUAACUUGUCCAGCAAGUUUCUUGACCUUCCCACACCCCUCUUCUCAACGUCCCCCCAGAGUCCUCAGGGGGGCCUUCGACCUGCAAAAGCCUCACAGGAGUGCGAGGGGUCCCAGCUCCCAGGGCGGCCGAUGGAGCCUCACACGGUCACCUUCUCCAUCACGCUUUCAGCCACGUGGACUUCGUCUGCCUGGACCGUGACAGCUGCUGACUGGCCGCAUAUGUGCUGGUGAUCCUUCCAGUCCUGGAGGGAGGACACAUCCAUGUCCACGGGGUCAGUGGGUGCAGCAGGGCCUUGGAGCAGGGUCCCCAAGGUGGACCCCAGGCCCCUCACCCCAGAGGGUGCAGCCCCUGUGAGCUGACCUGGGGGUGCUGAGAGAAUGCCCUCCCCAGUGCCCGCACGCCCACACUCUGGUGGCCUCUGCUCCAAUACAGCCUUCCCCACACUCUCUUGGUUUGAGGAAUUGGAUCAAAAGGCAAACAACAGGUGGGGCGUGGUGGCUCACGCCUGUAAUCCCAGCAUUUUGGGAGGCCCAGGCAGGUGGAUCCCCCGAGGUCAGGAGUUCGAGACCAGCCUGGCCAACACGGUAAAACCCCGUAUCUACUAAAAACACAAAAAUUAGCUGGGCAUGGCGGCAGGCACCUCUAAUCCCAGUUACUCGGGAGGCUGAGGCAGGAGAACUGCUUGAACCCGGGAGGCAGAGGUUGCAGUGAGCCAAGAUGGUGCCACCGCACUCUAGCCUGUGGGAGAGAACAACUCUGUAUCAAAAUAAAAGUCGAACAACAAACCAGGA